AAUAAAAUUAGGUUAGUAUCAUAUAUGGCUGAGAAUAUGGCUUGGCUGUCUCUACCCCUUCGCCGUAAAUGAAGGGACUAUGAU
RNAcentral lists this non-coding RNA (84 nucleotides) under marine eukaryotic metagenome. Its description in RNAcentral is "Purine riboswitch". It matches the Rfam family "Purine riboswitch aptamer", at positions 1 to 86 of the family's 102-position model. From Rfam's summary of the family: Riboswitches are metabolite binding domains within certain messenger RNAs that serve as precision sensors for their corresponding targets. Allosteric rearrangement of mRNA structure is mediated by ligand binding, and this results in modulation of gene expression. The record is from RNAcentral.